GAUGAACGCUGGCGGCGUGCCUAAUACAUGCAAGUCGAGCGAACGGACGAGAAGCUUGCUUCCCUGAUGUUAGCGGCGGACGGGUGAGUAACACGUGGAUAACCUACCUAUAAGACUGGGAUAACUUCGGGAAACCGGAGCUAAUACCGGAUAAUAUUUUGAACCGCAUGGUUCAAAAGUGAAAGACGGUCUUGCUGUCACUUAUAGAUGGAUCCGCGCUGCAUUAGCUAGUUGGUAAGGUAACGGCUUACCAAGGCAACGAUGCAUAGCCGACCUGAGAGCGGGAACGACCACGCGGGCACAUAGCACCGGUACAGACGACUGAGGGGAGCAGCAGGGGGGAAGAUUGCGCAAUGGGCGAAAUCAUAACGGAGCAACGCCGCGUGAUUGAUGAAGGUCUUCGGAUCGUAAAACUAUGAUAUUAGAGAAAAACAAAUGUGUAAGUAACUGUGCACGUCUUGACGGUACCUAAUCAGAAAGCCACGGCUAACUACGUG
Molecule: ribosomal RNA, 497 nt
Filed under: uncultured bacterium
Lineage: Bacteria
Description: partial 16S ribosomal RNA
Rfam family: Bacterial small subunit ribosomal RNA
Source: RNAcentral